This 402-nucleotide ribosomal RNA is filed under the name uncultured bacterium. RNAcentral's name for it is "bacterial SSU rRNA". It matches the Rfam family "Bacterial small subunit ribosomal RNA", at positions 29 to 430 of the family's 1533-position model. The record is from RNAcentral.
AGUGAACGCUGGCGGCAUGCCUUACACAUGCAAGUCGAACGGCAGCGCGGGGCAACCUGGCGGCGAGUGGCGAACGGGUGAGUAAUAUAUCGGAACAUACCCUAGAGUGGGGGAUAACGUAGCGAAAGUUACGCUAAUACCGCAUACGCACUAAGGUGGAAAGUGGGGGAUCUUCGGACCUCAUGCUCAUGGAGUGGCCGAUAUCUGAUUAGCUAGUUGGUGAGGUAAAAGGCUCACCAAGGCGACGAUCAGUAGCUGGUUUGAGAGAACGACCAGCCACACUGGAACUGAGACACGGUCCAGACUCCUACGGGAGGCAGCAGUGGGGAAGUUUUGGUACAAAUGGGGGGCAACCCUGAUCCAGCAAUGCCGCGUGAGUGAAGAAGGCCUCGGUUGUAAGUA